This 459-nucleotide ribosomal RNA is filed under the name uncultured bacterium. Its description in RNAcentral is "partial 16S ribosomal RNA". It matches the Rfam family "Bacterial small subunit ribosomal RNA", at positions 338 to 795 of the family's 1533-position model. The record is from RNAcentral.
CCUACGGGCGGCAGCAGUGAGGAAUAUUGGUCAAUGGGCGGGAGCCUGAACCAGCCAAGCCGCGUGAGGGAAGAAGGUCCAACGUGUCGUAAACCUCUUUUGUCAGGGAACAAAGGCGGGGACUUGUCCCCUUAUCGAGAUACCUUGAGGAAAAGCAUCGGCUAACUCCGUGCCCGUAGCCGCGGUAAUACGGAGGAUGCGGGCGUUUUCCGGAUUUAUUGGGGUUAAAGGGUGCGUAGGCGGCAUUUUCAAGCAGCGGGAAAAGCCCGGGGCUCAACCCCGGCGAGCCGUUGAAACUGGUGGGCUGGAGUGGGCGAGAAGUAUGCGGAAUGCGCGGUGUAGCGGUGAAAUGCUUAGAUAUCGCGCAGAACUCCGAUUGCGAAGGCAGCGUACCGGCGCCAAACUGACGCUGAGGCACGAAAGCGUGGGUAUCGAACAGGAUUAGAUACCCGGGUAGUC